This is an RNA transcript of Andrographis paniculata, 1815 nucleotides long. RefSeq lists it as uncharacterized. The transcript is spliced from 2 exons. Lineage: Eukaryota; Viridiplantae; Streptophyta; Magnoliopsida; Lamiales; Acanthaceae. The record is from RefSeq and is a predicted model, not a curated record.
AAUCACUUCUCAAAUCCCUUUCCGAAUCCAACACGAAGAAGUACCCAAAAUACUGGGACGAGCUCCGAGGAAUGGCUGAGGGGAGAUUCUCCAUUUCUCGAAGUAAUGAGCAGAGAAUCCGUCGCCUAAUUACCGGUAAUUGUAAAAAAAUUGCGUCUGAUUGAGAUUUCUAGGGUUUCGCAGGUAAUGCUGCUCAAUUUCAGGAAGGAGAUACGUGAGUUUUUUUAAGUUUUUCUUUUCGAAACGAUGGAUGAUAAUACAGUUCUAUUGAUUUCCUGUGAUUCUUCAAUUUGGGGAUGUAGUUUUCUGAUUAAAGCAAAUUUUGUCGAAUGGAUCAUCCUUCACUGCUUACACAUAUGCAGGAGAGCUCCCCACCUGUGCCUUUGGGUUCAACAGCCAUGGAUUGGUAUUUCAUUUCUUACUGAUAUUCCUUAUAACUCCUAAAUCUUAGACGCUGAUAUGCCUUGAAUUUAGUUUGUCAUUUCGUGGAAUUUUAAAUAGACUUAGGGAUACAAAAUCUGUAAUAUAAUAUGUAACGUUGCCGUUUCUGCUCGCGGACAUAGCCACCAUGUUGUUGGUGAAGACUUAAAUUUGUGUUUCUUUACAUUUUUUUUUUUUCGUUAUUCGAUCAUUAAUCCUAAUCCGUCGUAACACUUGAAAAGAACACCAAAGAAGGGCAAUGCUGGGAUUUAUGUUGGAAUUGUGGCUCUGAUUUUUGUUGUUUGGUGUUGAAUUUAUUUGAAAAUUGUGUUGUUGAUAGGUAAGAAAUGUGACGAACCACAUUGAACUGUAUAAAACAUCGACGCGGUGUUGAGCUAUUUAAUUAUGGUGUAAAGUUGUUGAAUUAUAGUGUAAAAGUUUGUAAAUACGUCGAAUUGUAUGUUCAAUGCUACAUUGAACAAAUUUGCAAAUUAUGGCGUAAUUUGCUUAGAACCACGCAAGAAAAACGUUAAUUCAUAGUAUACAUUUGUUGAUCGCGCUUAUAUGUUGAAUUACAUACAAAAUAUGCUUAGAGGAUGAGCACGAGUAGCCUAAUCAGCGGUGGUUAAUGAUUUUAUCUGAUCGCUAUUAGUCAUCUUCUAGAAAUACCAUCGUAAUUUUUUAGAUAUGUUGAUAUAUUUUAGAUAUUAAUUUUAGAUUUGAUCAUAUCUAUUAGAUUAUUUAGAUUUGAAUAUGUCCGAGUCUGUUUUAUGUUACCUAUACAUAUAGACCUUUUUAUUUUGACGAUCAAUAACUCAAUUUUGUAGAGUUUUCGCAAAUUAAUUUUAACAUGGUUUCAGAGCUUAUUUUUCUCUAGGGAAUGAUCUAAGAAGCCUAAAGGUAACAUAAAACAAAUUCGAUAGACUCAAAUCUAAAUAAUCUAAAUCUAAAUCUAACAAAUUUAAAAUUAAAUAUCUAAAAUCUAUCAACAAGAUAAUCGUACAAAAUGUUUGUCUAGAAUAUGAAAAAGGCUUCUUCCCUUCUUAGGAGAUUGAGAUUGUCCCGAUCUUCAACAUCUACCUGAAUUUGUGCUACACUCAGUUCUCCUUUCGACAAUUCGAACAAAAUUAGGAUCUUGUAUGUUUUACUAUUGCUGAAGGCAUUUACUCUGAAUUCGGUCCCACCGGCAAAGUGUGAGAUUGUAGCCGGGGGUGUAGGCAGGAACUUUGUCUCGAGGGACUUGCUAGAAGCACAUAGCAUCGAUGACGCCUUAGAAUUACAAUCUGAUUGACAUAAACUCCCGGAGAAUCUUGAAUGUCGAAACAGCAUCAAGAAAUCGCCACUCGGUUUAUGAAGUAGGAGAAGUGCCAUUCUUCCACGCCAAUAUGUAUCUUC